GAAGAAGUGAAUUAAGGGCAUUUGGUGGAUGCCUUGGCAUGCACAGGCGAAGAAGGACGUGAUACGCUGCGAAAAGCCGUGGGGAGCUGCGAAUAAGCUUUGAUCCAUGGAUCUCCGAAUGGGGCAACCCACCUUAAAUGCUUGGAAAAUCCAGUCUGUUUUAUGAACGGCCUGGGUUUCCAAGCAUUGUGAUAAGGUAUCUUACUUUCGAAUACAUAGGGGUAAGAAGCGAACGCAGGGAACUGAAACAUCUAAGUACCUGCAGGAAAGGACAU
This 275-nucleotide ribosomal RNA is filed under the name Agrobacterium tumefaciens. RNAcentral describes it as "partial 23S ribosomal RNA". It matches the Rfam family "Bacterial large subunit ribosomal RNA", at positions 1 to 225 of the family's 2925-position model. The record is from RNAcentral. Lineage: Bacteria; Pseudomonadati; Pseudomonadota; Alphaproteobacteria; Hyphomicrobiales; Rhizobiaceae.